This 253-nucleotide ribosomal RNA is filed under the name uncultured bacterium. RNAcentral describes it as "partial 16S ribosomal RNA". It matches the Rfam family "Bacterial small subunit ribosomal RNA", at positions 524 to 776 of the family's 1533-position model. The record is from RNAcentral.
UACGUAGGGGGCUAGCGUUGUCCGGAAUCAUUGGGCGGAAAGCGCGCGUAGGCGGCCAGAUAAGUCCGGUGUGAAAGUCACAGGCUCAACCUGUGAAUGCCGCUGGAAACUGUCUGGCUAGAGUCCGGAAGGGGCGAGUGGAAUUCCUGGUGUAGCGGUGAAAUGCGCAGAUAUCAGGAGGAACACCAAUGGCGAAGGCAGCUCGCUGGAACGGUACUGACGCUGAGGCGCGAAAGCGUGGGGAGCGAACAGG